GCUGGGCGUGGUGGCACAUGCCUGUAGUCCCAGCUACUUGGGAGGCUGGGACAGGAGACUUGUUUGAGUCCAGGAGUUCGAGGCUGCAGUGAGCUGUGAUUGCACCACUGCACUCCAGCCUGGGCAACAGAGUGAAACCUUGUCUCUA
Papio anubis (olive baboon) is the source of this 148-nucleotide unclassified non-coding RNA. It matches the Rfam family "Metazoan signal recognition particle RNA". From Rfam's summary of the family: The signal recognition particle (SRP) is a universally conserved ribonucleoprotein. It is involved in the co-translational targeting of proteins to membranes. The eukaryotic SRP consists of a 300-nucleotide 7S RNA and six proteins: SRPs 72, 68, 54, 19, 14, and 9. The record is from Ensembl. Lineage: Eukaryota; Metazoa; Chordata; Mammalia; Primates; Cercopithecidae.